This 468-nucleotide ribosomal RNA is filed under the name uncultured bacterium. Its description in RNAcentral is "partial 16S ribosomal RNA". It matches the Rfam family "Bacterial small subunit ribosomal RNA", at positions 28 to 507 of the family's 1533-position model. The record is from RNAcentral.
GACGAACGCUGGCGGCGUGCUUAACACAUGCAAGUCGAACGGAAAGGCCCUGCUUUUGUGGGGUGCUCGAGUGGCGAACGGGUGAGUAACACGUGAGUAACCUGCCCUUGACUUUGGGAUAACUUCAGGAAACUGGGGCUAAUACCGGAUAGGAGCUCCUGCUGCAUGGUGGGGGUUGGCACGUUUCGGCGGUUGGGGAUGGACGCGCGGCUUAUCAGCUUGUUGGUGGGGUAGUGGCUUACCAAGGCUUUGACGGGUAGCCGGCCUGAGAGGGUGACCGGCCACAUUGGGACUGAGAUACGGCCCAGACUCCUACGGGAGGCAGCAGUGGGGAAUAUUGCACAAUGGGCGGAAGCGUGAUGCAGCAACGCCGGGUGCGGGAUGACGGCCUUCGGGUUGUAAACCGCUUUCGCCUGUGACGAAGCGUGAGUGACGGUAAUGGGUAAAGAAGCACCGGCUAACUACGUG